CUCGUUCUUUAAAUAGGGACUUGUAUCAACGGCAUCACGAGGGUUAUACUGUCUCCUUUCUCCAAUCAGUGAACCUAAUCUCCCCGUGAAGAAGCGGGGUUAUACCUAUAAGACGAGAAGACCCCAUGGAGCUUUAAACUUAAAAGCAAGUAAAUUAAAUAUUCCCAUACAUAAUUUAAAUAUGCAUAAAAGUUUUGGGUUGGGGUGACCGCGGAGCAAAAAUUAACCUCCACAACGAAAAGAAUUAAAUCUUUAUCUAAGAACUACCAUUCUAAGAAUCAACAUAUUGACGAACACUGAUCCGAUAAUCGAUCAAUGGACCAAGUUACCCUGGGGAUAACAGCGCCAUCUACUUCGAGAGCUCAUAUCGACAAGUAGGCUUACGACCUCGAUGUUGGAUCAGGGUAUCCCAGUGGUGCAGCCGCUACUAAUGGUUCGUUUGUUCAACGAUUAAAACC
This 458-nucleotide ribosomal RNA is filed under the name Chiromantis xerampelina (African gray treefrog). RNAcentral describes it as "partial 16S rRNA". It matches the Rfam family "Bacterial large subunit ribosomal RNA", at positions 1968 to 2595 of the family's 2925-position model. The record is from RNAcentral. Lineage: Eukaryota; Metazoa; Chordata; Amphibia; Anura; Rhacophoridae.